RNAcentral lists this transfer RNA (69 nucleotides) under Citharichthys stigmaeus (speckled sanddab). Its description in RNAcentral is "tRNA-Glu". It matches the Rfam family "tRNA". From Rfam's summary of the family: Transfer RNA (tRNA) molecules are approximately 80 nucleotides in length. Their secondary structure includes four short double-helical elements and three loops (D, anti-codon, and T loops). The record is from RNAcentral. Lineage: Eukaryota; Metazoa; Chordata; Actinopteri; Pleuronectiformes; Cyclopsettidae.
GUUCUUGUAGUUGAAUAACAACGAUGGUUUUUCAAGCCGUUAGUCCCGGUUAAAAUCCGGGCAGGAAUU